GAUGAAGAACGCAGUGAAAUGCGAUAAGUAGUGUGAAUUGCAGAAUUCAGUGAAUCAUCGAAUCUUUGAACGCACCUUGCGCCUUUUGGUAUUCCGAAAGGCACACCUGUUUGAGCGUCAUGAAUACCUCAAUCUCCAUCUUUUCUUCGGAUUGAUGGGUGACUUGGAUGUUGAGCCCUGCUGGUAUGCUAUAUCAGCUGGCUUUAAACUUAUUAGCCGGCUCUGUACUGGAUCGGUUUGACUCGACGUGAUAAUAUUAUCGUUGAGGAUGCAUGUCUCAUGCAGCCGGAAAGUAUCAAAGCAGCUUCUAGCUUGCCUUUAGUGCACUUUUACAUUUUAGACCUCAGAUCAGGUGGGACUACCCGCUGAACUUAAGCAUAUAAUAAGCGGAGGA
Molecule: unclassified non-coding RNA, 394 nt
Filed under: soil metagenome
Description: partial contains 5.8S ribosomal RNA, internal transcribed spacer 2, and large subunit ribosomal RNA
Rfam family: 5.8S ribosomal RNA (bases 1-120)
Source: RNAcentral